This 652-nucleotide long non-coding RNA is filed under the name Triticum aestivum (bread wheat). Its description in RNAcentral is "long non-coding RNA (TAES_LNC010818)". Lineage: Eukaryota; Viridiplantae; Streptophyta; Magnoliopsida; Poales; Poaceae. The record is from RNAcentral.
AUGGGCAGCACGAACACACCGAGGCCACCGGCACGGGGAUGCACGGCGCCGACAUAGGCGAGAAGAAGGGCGUCAUGGAGAACAUCAAUGACAAGCUCUCUGGUGGCCAUGGGGACCACGAGCAAACUGGUGGCACCUACGGGCAGCAGGGACACACCGAUGCGGCGACGCACGGCGCCUCAACCACCAGCGGCACCUAUGGGCAGCACGAAAACACCGGUACGGGGACACAUGGUGCCCCUGCCACCGAUGGCGCCUAUGGGCAGCAUGGACACACCGGGGCCAUCGGGACGGGGUUGCAUGGCGCCAACACGGGCGAGAAGAAGGGCGUCAAGGAGAACAUCAAUGACAAGCUCCCUGAUGGCCGCGGGGACCACCAGCAGACUGGUGGCACCUACGGGCAACAGGAACACAUCGAUGCGGCGACGCAUGGUGCCUUAGCCACUGGCGGCACCAAUGUGCAGCAAGGAAACACCGGUACGGGGACACAUGGCGCCCCGGCCACCGAUGGUGCCUACGGGCAGCACAAACACACCGGAGCCACUGGCACGAGGAUGCAUGACACCGACACCAGCGAGAAGAAGGGCGUCAUGGAGAACAUCAACGACAAGCUGCCUAGUGGAGACGAAGACCACCAGCACACCGGUGGCAC